Molecule: ribosomal RNA, 900 nt
Filed under: uncultured archaeon
Lineage: Archaea
Description: bacterial SSU rRNA
Rfam family: Archaeal small subunit ribosomal RNA
Source: RNAcentral
GUGUCAGCAGCCGCGGUAAAACCAGCACCUCAAGUGGUCAGGAGGAUUAUUGGGCCUAAAGCAUCCGUAGCCGGCUAUGAAAGUUUUCGGUUAAAUCCAUAUGCUCAACAUAUGGGCUGCCGAGAAUACUCCAUAGCUAGGGAGUGGGAGAGGUAGACGGUACUCCGUAGGAAGGGGUAAAAUCCUUUGAUCUACGGAUGACCACCUGUGGCGAAGGCGGUCUACCAGAACACGUUCGACGGUGAGGGAUGAAAGCUGGGGGAGCAAACCGGAUUAGAUACCCGGGUAGUCCCAGCUGUAAACUAUGCAAACUCGGUGAUGCAUUGGCUUGUGGCCAGUGCAGUGUCGCAGAGAAGUCGUUAAGUUUGCCGCCUGGGAAGUACGUACGCAAGUAUGAAACUUAAAGGAAUUGGCGGGGGAGCACCACAAGGGGUGAAGCCUGCGGUUCAAUUGGAGUCAACGCCAGAAAUCUUACCCGGGGAGACAGCAGAAUGAAGGUCAAGCUGAAGACUUUACCAGACAAGCUGAGAAGUGGUGCAUGGCCGUCGCCAGCUCGUGCCGUGAGAUGUCCUGUUAAGUCAGGUAACGAGCGAGAUCCCUGCCUCUAGUUGCCACCAUUACUCUCAGGAGUAGUGGGGCGAAUUAGCGGGACUGCCGCAGUUAAUGCGGAGGAAGGAAGGGGCCACGGCAGGUCAGUAUGCCCUGAAACUCUGGGGCCACACGCGGGCUGCAAUGGUAGCGACAAUGAGUUCCUAAUCCGAAAGGAGGAGGUAAUCCACAAACGCUACCACAGUUAUGACUGAGGGCUGCAACUCGCCCUCACGAAUAUGGAAUCCCUAGUAACUGCGUGUCAUUACCGCGCGGUGAAUACGUCCCUGCUCCUUGCACACACUGCCCGUC